RNAcentral lists this long non-coding RNA (1447 nucleotides) under Homo sapiens (human). Its description in RNAcentral is "novel transcript". Lineage: Eukaryota; Metazoa; Chordata; Mammalia; Primates; Hominidae. The record is from RNAcentral.
AGGCAGCCGUUAGACAGCACAACCGAACCCAACACCGGGGCCCAACGGCAGGGGCUUGGGCAGGAGCAAGGUCCGAGGGCUGCCAGGUCCACGCUGCUUUUAUGAGCUGUAACACUCACCGCGAAGAUCUGCAGCUUCACUCCUGAGCCCAGCGAGACCACGAGCCCACCGGGAGGAACAAACAACUCCAGACGCGCUGCCUUAAGAGCUGUAACACUUGCCGUGAAGGUCUGCAGCUUCACUCCUGAGCCAGCGAGACCACGAACCCACCAGAAGGAAGAAACUCCGAACACAUCUCAACAUCAGAACGGACAGACUCCAGACGCACCACCUUAAGAGCUGUAACACUCACCGCGAGGUUCCGCGGCUUCAUUCUUGAAAACACCAGGUGCCAGAAGACCAAACAUGCUGGCAGAUGGAAAGAAGAGGAGUGAAGAUUCACUCUCCCUUGACCAAGAUCAGAGUUCGUGAGCCACACAUCUCCCCACACCAAGCUCCUCCAUACAAGACCUCGGACUGCAUCACGUAAAUGCUUUUUCAGGGGCAAAAUCUAGAGAAUCUGAAACGAGCUAUCAGCUUCCCAGUUUGCACAAUUCAUCAAGAAAUUAUGCGGGGUCACUGGCACAAAUGAUGAGGCAUCUCCUGGAAGCUUAACUUCUUAUCCAUCCCAUCUCUUGGACAGAUGAUGCCAGUUAAUUACUUUGAAUGCUCUGCUGCUAUGGUGAGCUGCACGUCUGGAGGCUUCACAGAGACACUGGGUGAAUCUAAAUGAUGAGUUUGAUGGUGACCUGGAGGUGAAACUGUGACUUCAUGAUGUUCUAGAGGCUGACCUGGGGUCUCCUGCUGGGUCAGAGAAGAUUCGACCUCCCCAGAAGACUCAGAAGGCUGAACUGGCUGCUGCUGCUCACUGAUGGAAAGUUCAUGCUCCAUAGGAGGAACUGGAGGCUCAAUUGGGGCCUCCUGUUGGGUUGCAGAAGGUUCCACCUCCUCUGGAAACUGAAUUGGGGUCUCCUGCUGGGUUUGGGAAGAUUCUGUCUCAUUGGUAGGCUCUGAAGUUAUGGUAACCUCCACAUCUGCAGGUUUAACUGUAAUGUUGGGCAAGUGAUAAUAAGCUUGAUCCUCACCUGGAGGUUGAACUGACACCUCAUGAUUCGGUAGAGUUAGACUCUCCAUAGAGGACUCUGGAGGCAGAGCUGGGGCCUCCUGCUGCAUUGAAGAAGGUUCUUCCUCAAGGAGCUGUGGAAGCUGUGCUGGGGCUUCUUGUUGGAGUGAAGAGGACUGGAUGUCUUCAAGGGUCUCUGGAUUUUGAGUUUCGGGCUCUAGAUGGAAUUGAGAAGGUCCAACUUGCUCAGAGGGCCCUGGAGGCUCAUCUGACUUCACCCGGAGUUCUGGAGGCAGGCUACCGGGAUACGGUGUAUCUGUACUGGAAUAUUCAUUCUGCAAAUUC